RNAcentral lists this unclassified non-coding RNA (335 nucleotides) under soil metagenome. RNAcentral describes it as "partial contains 5.8S ribosomal RNA, internal transcribed spacer 2, and large subunit ribosomal RNA". The stretch from base 1 to 120 matches the Rfam family "5.8S ribosomal RNA", at positions 35 to 154 of the family's 154-position model. The record is from RNAcentral.
GAUGAAGAACGUAGUGAAAUGCGAUAAGUAGUGUGAAUUGCAGAAUUCAGUGAAUCAUCGAAUCUUUGAACGCACAUUGCGCCCUUUGGUAUUCCUUAGGGCAUGCCUGUUCGAGCGUCAUUUAAACCUUCAAGCUCAGCUUGGUGAUGGGUGACUGUCCUCCCCUCGCGGGGGGACUCGCCUCAAAAACAUUGGCGGCCGGUACAUUGGCUUCGAGCGCAGCAGAAACGCGGUCUCGAGCCCGGUGGAUCGGCUCCCAUAAGCCUCUUCUUUUAUUUUGACCUCGGAUCAGGUAGGGAUACCCGCUGAACUUAAGCAUAUCAAUAAGCGGAGGA